Non-coding RNA from Lithohypha guttulata, 89 nucleotides. Lineage: Eukaryota; Fungi; Ascomycota; Eurotiomycetes; Chaetothyriales; Trichomeriaceae. The record is from the annotation of a RefSeq genome assembly.
UCAUAAUCCUAGCCUUGGCUUAGUGGUAAAGCGCAUCACUAGUACUAUUAGCGAUGAUGAGAUCGCUGGUUCGAUUCCAGCAGGGUGAG